Scatophagus argus is the source of this 2306-nucleotide RNA transcript. It is a transcript of the gene named pinopsin-like, with no coding region annotated. Lineage: Eukaryota; Metazoa; Chordata; Actinopteri; Scatophagidae. The record is from RefSeq and is a predicted model, not a curated record. The transcript is spliced from 5 exons.
GGAGCGUCACUUCGGCACAGAAACUUCCGCUGUGAUCUCGCAGGAUUGCUGAGCGGCUCAUUGAUCACUCGGAGGAGACGCGCCGUCGGAUUAUUGGUCCUUUUUUUUCCUGGUUCUGAUUUGUUGCGGUUUUCUGUCAUCCUGCUCGGGCGCAGGAUGGAGCAGACGACCGCGGUCGGACUGCAGAACUUUGAGUCCUCAGGAUGUGAAGUCCAACAAGUUUCUGGUGAUUUUUGAUUUCCUUCAGAGGUCUGAUCCGCGCGCAGAGUUGAGCGGAUCCACCUGGCGUCAUGUUCUCCGAGCUGAGCGCCGUCAACCUGACGUCCAACCUGAGCGAACCGCUGUCGUCUCUGGAGCAGAACUGGAGCGACGCGCCGCACCAGCGGCUGUCGCGCACCGGACACCGCGUGGUGUCGGUGUUCCUGGGCUCCAUCAUGGUGUUCGGUUUCCUCAACAACCUGCUGGUUCUGAUUCUGUUCUGCCGCUUCAAGACUCUGCGGACCCCCGUCAACAUGCUGCUGCUCAACAUCAGCGUCAGCGACAUGUUGGUGUGCGUGUGCGGCACGACGCUCAGCUUCGCCUCCAGCCUGCGAACCCGCUGGCUGUACGGCCGACACGGCUGCAUGUGGUACGGCUUCGUCAACUCCUGCUUCGGCAUCGUGUCUCUGGUGUCUCUGGCCGUCCUGUCCUACGACCGCUACAGCACCCUGAUGGUGUACAACAAGCGGACCGCGGACUACAGGAGGCCCCUCCUGGCGGUGGGGGGGUCCUGGCUGUACUCUCUGGUGUGGACGCUGCCCCCCCUGCUGGGCUGGAGCAGUUAUGGUCUGGAGGGGGCUGGGACCAGCUGCUCCGUGACCUGGACUGAGAAAUCCUCCAGUUCUCACUCUUACAUCAUCUGUCUGUUUGUCUUCUGUCUCGGCCUCCCCGUCCUUGUCAUGGUCUACUGCUACGGCCGCCUGCUGUACGCCGUCAAACAGGUGGGUCAUGUGAGGCGGACGGCGGCUCGUCGCAGAGAGUUUCACAUCCUGUUCAUGGUGGUCACCACAGUGGUGUGUUACCUGCUCUGCUGGAUGCCGUAUGGCGUUGUCGCCAUGAUGGCCACCUUCGGCCGUCCGGGAGUCAUAACCCCCAUCGCCAGCGUCGUCCCAUCAAUCCUCGCCAAAAGCAGCACCGUCAUUAAUCCUGUCAUCUACAUCCUCAUGAACAAACAGUUCUACCGCUGCUUCCUGAUCCUGUUCCACUGUGAACACCAACUGACGGAAAACGGUCAGUCCUCCAUGCCCUCAAAGACUACCAUGCUCCAACUCAACCGCCGCGGCUGUGAUGGUGGCCCGGCCGCCGGCGGAUCCACCGCCGCCUCCAGACCGCUCACCGGGCCUGCUACGCCUGACAUAGAGGGUACCAGUGCCGCCUUGUCUGACAGAACUGAUGGUGCCCAGCCACCAGAGACCUCAUCCUGAAACCUCCACCAGAGACCUCAAACCACCAGGCUGCUGUCGUUGUUGUUGUGGUGCAGGGAAAAACUCUUGCUGGUUUGGAUUUGUUUAAACCACUCACAGUUGUUUUGGUAACCAGUAACGGGCUGAUUUUCACUGAUGAAACCAACCUGGUGCUCAGGCCCGAGAGCUGAAGCCUGCCAGUGAUUAAACUGAGCUAUUAGAUGUUGAACACGCUGGUAGAUUCACAGCUUUCAGUGUGUCGGUCACUCGCAGCUCGUCGUCGUUGUCUCAUGGAGCCAACAGGAGGCUCAGGAAGGCCUGCUUCCUGGGAGCGAGACAAACCUCCUCCUGAAGCCUCCUCCACUGGCCAAGUAACAGACCCGCCCCCACCUGUGUCAGGUGCUGCCUUGGUCCCGCCUCUUGGUGUCGCUGAUGUGUGUGUGUGUGUGUGAUGUCACUGUGUGUUGGUGCAGUGAGUGUUUCAUCCACUGACUGUCAAAUGAAGAUGGACGACCUGAGAACGAAGCCAAACACCAUCGUCAACGUCUUCAUCAGGUGUUUUUAUCGCUCUCACAAGCUGCUGUGUCAGCGCUGGACAAAGUCUGACUCAGCACAUUGUCAUUGUGACGCUGACUCGGCUGUGUUUCUUUAAACCAAUGAGGACGCGGGCGGUGGGAGGAGAAUCACAUGAUGGAAGACGUUUCAUAAAGAUCAGCUGUGAGUAUUUGUACUGUAGUAGUACUGCAGCUGGUACCUGUGAACCCUGACGAGGGUGGGUUCGGUUGGAUCUGGUCCUCAGUGUUGUCCUGGAUCAGGUCCCACAGACUCCAGAUGAACUCUGGAUGAAGGAUGUAAAACGGCUGC